CCUACGGGAGGCAGCAGUGGGGGAUAUUGCACAAUGGGGGGAACCCUGAUGCAGCGACGCCGCGUGGGUGAAGGAGUGCUUCGGCAUGUAAAGCCCUAUCGGCAGGGAAGAAGCAAGACGGUACCUGACUAAGAAGCCCCGUCUAACUACGUGCCAGCAGCCGCGGUAAUACGUAGGGGGCGAGCGUUAUCCGGAUACACUGGGUGUUAAGGGAGCGUAUACGGCAAUGCAAGCCAGGGGUGAAAGCCGGGGGCCUAACCCCGGGACUGCCCUUGAAACGGCAUGGCUGGAGUGCGGGAGGGGCAGGCGGAAUGCCUGGUGUAGCGGUGAAAUGCGUAGAUAUCAGGAGGAACACCGGGGGCGAAGGCGGCCUGCUGGACCGCGACUGACGUUGAGGCUCGAAAGCGUGGGGAGCGAACAGGAUUAGAUACCCUUGUAGUC
This 441-nucleotide ribosomal RNA is filed under the name uncultured bacterium. Its description in RNAcentral is "partial 16S ribosomal RNA". It matches the Rfam family "Bacterial small subunit ribosomal RNA", at positions 338 to 795 of the family's 1533-position model. The record is from RNAcentral.